CCUACGGGUGGCUGCAGUGGGGAAUAUUGCGCAAUGGGCGAAAGCCUGACGCAGCGACGCCGCGUGAGGGAUGAAGGUCUUCGGAUCGUAAACCUCUGUCAGCAGGGAAGAACGGUCACUGUGCGAAUCAGCAGGGAAUUGACGGUACCUGCAAAGGAAGCACCGGCUAACUCCGCGCCAGCAGCCGCGGUAAUACGGAGGAUGCGAGCAAUAUCCGGUUUUAGUGUGUGAAAAGGGUGCGUAGGCGGAAUGCCGAGUCAGCGGUAAAAUCGCGGGGCGCAACCUCGCUCCGCCGUUGAUACUGGCAAGCUGGAGUGUGUGUGAGGAUAGUGGAAUUCCAGGUGUAGGAGUGAAAUCCGUAGAUAUCUGGAGGAACAUCAGUGGCGAAGGCGACUAUCUGGCACAUGACUGACGCUGAGGAGCGAAAGCGUGGGUAGCAAACAGGAUUAGAUACCCUAGUAGUC
RNAcentral lists this ribosomal RNA (464 nucleotides) under uncultured bacterium. RNAcentral's name for it is "partial 16S ribosomal RNA". It matches the Rfam family "Bacterial small subunit ribosomal RNA", at positions 338 to 795 of the family's 1533-position model. The record is from RNAcentral.